GUCUUCAUGUUCGGCCAAAAUUGAAGAUUGAAGGCAGCAUUCGAAGCCUGUGCAAGUAAUCAAUCAAGCAGAGCUUGCAAGCUAGCAAAGGAAUUGCAGGAAACAAAGCCUUAAGGUAAAAAUGUGAACUGUAUCUGUAUAUAUUCGGUCUGCAAAUUCUGAAGGAAAAGUGCAGAAAGUACCCCAAGAUGUCUUCCUCAAGCUCUCGACCAACAAGCGGGGGAAAUGGAGGCAGAGGUCUUCAAUACCAGUACAAGGUAUGUAAUUGUCGAAGGAAGGCAGAGGGGCCAUAUAGUAUUGGCAACCAAGACUGAUGUAGCAGUAGAAGAGACUGAUUUGCCUGGAGCUGAUAAAGAUACUGGUGAAGUCUCUGAAAGUCCAUUAGAUGCUAUUGAAACAAACGAAGAUUCCUCUGCUAAAUCAGAUGGAAGCUCCACUACUGCUCGAUCUAAGCGAACAAGACCCGUUAGGAAGAGUGACAUGCCUCCUAUCAGGACUGAGGAUUUGAUUCCUGGUGCAACUUAUGUAACUUGUGAUUUAUUUGUUUGGCAGCUACACGUGAAUUUUUUGGAGUAGCAUGAGAAUCAUUAAAGGUUUCUUUAUUUCUACUCUAACAAUUAGAUUGCAUAUUUCUGUUUGUUCUAAAACAUUUUUGUGGAAAUAGAGUUCGUGCUGCUUUCUGUUUCUUUUGUUUGAC
Molecule: long non-coding RNA, 697 nt
Filed under: Coffea arabica (coffee)
Lineage: Eukaryota; Viridiplantae; Streptophyta; Magnoliopsida; Gentianales; Rubiaceae
Description: long non-coding RNA (CARA_LNC000389)
Source: RNAcentral